RNAcentral lists this ribosomal RNA (280 nucleotides) under uncultured bacterium. RNAcentral describes it as "partial 16S ribosomal RNA". It matches the Rfam family "Bacterial small subunit ribosomal RNA", at positions 506 to 784 of the family's 1533-position model. The record is from RNAcentral.
UGCCAGCAGCCGCGGUAAUACAUAGGGGUCAGGCGUUGUCCGGAUUUAUUGGGCGUAAAGAGCUCGUAGGCGGUUCAGUAAGUCGGGUGUGAAAACUUGAGGCUCAACCUCAAGAGGCCACUCGAUACUGCUGUGACUUGAGUCCGGUAGAGGAGUGUGGAAUUCCUGGUGUAGCGGUGAAAUGCGCAGAUAUCAGGAGGAACACCGACGGCGAAGGCAGCACUCUGGGCCGGUACUGACGCUGAGGAGCGAAAGCGUGGGGAGCAAACAGGAUGAGAUA